Long non-coding RNA from Quercus lobata, 503 nucleotides. RefSeq lists it as uncharacterized. Lineage: Eukaryota; Viridiplantae; Streptophyta; Magnoliopsida; Fagales; Fagaceae. The record is from RefSeq and is a predicted model, not a curated record. The transcript is spliced from 3 exons.
AGGAGAUGUUGCAGCAAAGCUCUUUUAGUAUAGAAGGUGUUUGGGAAAAAGCCAAGCCUAAAGUAGUAGUAGAAGUAGAAGAACUGUUAAUCCGUCUAUUGAAGUACCAAUUCCUCCACUUUAUCCAGAACACUACAUACAAAUAUUUCUCUCAUGCUUCCCUUUUGUCUUCAUUGAAUAUCAGGCACGAAUACUACCUAGAGACUCAUUGAAAGUUACUAGAGGGAUAUUAUUGAGGAAAGUUCCAGUAUGGGAAAACAGAGGUUUUUGGAAUUGGAGUUGGAGAAUAAAUGUGCAGCCGUAAUUUACACUCUUUGCUUGAAAGAUUAGGGACACAUAUAAUGGGAGUGCUCAGAAGCGCCUGAAGUCUAGAGACCAACCACAAUGUUUCCAUAGGUAUGGUGUUAUUUUGUCUUUAAAACAAAAUGAGCAUGUCAUGGAGGUGGAGGUCAUGUUGAAUAUAAGCCUAGCUGUUAUGGUACAAUCAGAACCAUAGGUGGGUG